CACUGUACUACAGGUGGGCUGGGAGGGAGAGAGUAAGCUGGCUACACUGGCUACUAAGGAGGAUGGAGUGUGGGGCCCAUGUUCAGUCUGCUACUGCAGCACAACAUCAUCAAUCAUUGUGGGACUGUUGAGGGACGACAACAUCCUGGUGUUCAGAGUGGAAUAGUGUGUACAUUCGCUGCUGAGUCAGGACAAUGAUGCUGAGGAUGUGGUGGGCAAGAAUUACCUGAAUAUGCAGAAGGACAGCACCACCAUUGAUAUCGAUUUGGCCCAGCAUCAGCACCAGUCCUGCCUGCAGGAGCCCUAGUCCAGGACGACACAUCCACUCCCCUGACCCAUAGCUCAUCAUACUUGAUAUCCGGAAAAAUGGGGCCUUGUGCAUGUGCUUAAAUUGUUGUCACAGAUAAGCCUGUGCAGUUUGCACAGGCUUAUAAUGGACAACACUUUCCUCUUAAAGCAGAGCACCAGCAUUGAUAUCGAGUUGGCCCAGAAACCACACCAGUCACGCCUGCAGGAGCCCCAGUCCAGAACGACCCUUCCCCUGCCUUGACUUUUAACUCCUCCCCCUUGACCUCCUGCCUCAAAAAGUCAGCAUCGUUGAACAACUCUGUUCUGCAGGAAAUUCUGAGCAUGAAUCUGUUCUGAACAAACGCAAUGCCCACGUUACGUUUUCCAAACAUAAGCCUGGGUAGUUUUAUUAAGCUGGAGUUGCGCGUGGGCCUGAAAGGGACGAGUGUUACAGACACGAAAAGUUAUAGCAGUAGUUAUGGUAACGCUAACAGUCAGUUGUUGCUGUUGGACAUCACAACAAAUAUCAUGAAGAAUAAAAAGUUCAAUAACUCAUUCCAAUCUUUAUGAGACAAACAGAAAUUGAACGGGAGAAAAUCAAAGAACAAUAAAAGCGUAAGCUUUCCUAGUGGGAUACUUUUGCUGUUGAUAGUUUGGACAACAGUAGGGUUGCGGACUGCCCCAGAUUGUCCUCUCAGCGGCCAAAAUAUCAUAAUAGAACGGACUUUUGGCAAUGUUACUGACAAAGAAAGGCAAUAAUGACUUGGUUGUCAAUACCCAGAGCAAGAUACAUCCAUGCUGAGAAAGAAAGGCAGUAAUGACUUGGUUGUGAACACCCAGAGCGCGAUACAUCCAUGCUGACACAGUAAGGCAGUAAUGACUUGGUUGUGAACACCCAGAGCACAAUACAUCCGUGCUGACACAGAAAGGCAGUAAUGACUUGGUUGUGAACACCCAGAGCACAAUACAUACAUGCUGACACAGAAAGGAAGUAAUGACUUGGUUGUGAACACCCAGAGCACGAUACAUCCAUGCUGACACAGAAAGGCAGUAUGACUUGGCUGUGAACACAGAACACAAUACACCCAUGCUGACACAGAAAGGCAGUAAUGACUUGGUUGUGAACACCCAGAGCAAGAUAUUUCCAUGCUGACACAGAAAGGCAGUAAUGACUAUGCUGUGAACACCUUGAGCAAGAUAUAUCCUUGCUAACACAGAAAGGCAGUAAUGACUAUGCUGUGAACACCCGGAGCAUAAUGCAUCCAUGCUGACACAGAAAGGCAGUAAUGACUUGGUUGGGAACACCCAGAGCAAGAUAUAUACAUGCUGACACAGAAAGGCAGUAAUGACUAUGCUGUGAACACCCAGAGCAAGAUAUAUACAUGCUGACACAGAAAGGCAGUAAUGAUUAUGCUGUCUAAACCCACAGAAAGAUAUAUCCAUGCUGACACAGAAAAGCAGUAAUGACUAUGCAGUGAACACCCAUAGCAAGAUAUAUCCAUGCUGACACAGAAAGGCAGUAAUGACUUGGUUUUGAACAACCAGAGCAAGAUAUAUCCAUGCUGACACAGAAAGGCAGUAAUGACUUGGCUGUGAACACAGAACCCGAUACACCCAUGCUGACACAGAAAAGGCAGUAAUGACUUGGCAGUAAACACAGAACACAAUACACCCAUGCUGACACAGAAAGGCAGUAAUGACUUUGCUGUGAACACAGAGCACAAUACAUCCAUGCUGACACAAAAAGGCAGUAAUGACUUGGCUGUGAGCACAGAACACCAUACAUCCAUGCUGAUACAAAAAGGCAGUAAUAACAUGGUUGUGAACACAGAGCACAAUACAUCCAUGCUGACACAGAAAGGCAGUUAUGACUUGGUUGUGAACACAGAGCACAAUACAUCCUUGUUGACACAGAAAGGCAGUAAUGACUUGGCUGUGAACACAGAGCACAAUACAUCCAUGCUGACACAGAAAGGCAGUUAUGACUUGGUUGUGAACACAGAGCACAAUACAUCCUUGUUGACACAGAAAGGCAGUUAUGACUUUGCUGUGAACUCAGAGCACGAUACAUCCAUGCUGACACAGAAAGACAGUAAUGACUAUGCUGCGAACACCCAGAGCACAAUACAUCCAUGCUGAAACAGAAAGGCAGUCAUGACUAUGCAGUGAACACCCAGAGCAAGAUACAUCCAUGCUGACACAGAAAGGAAGUAAUGACUAUGCUGUGAACACCCAGAGCAAGAUAUAUCCAUGCUGACACAGAAAGGCAGUAAUGACUAUGCCGUGAACACCCAGAACACAAUACAUCCAUGCUGAAACAGAAAGUCAGUAAUGACUUGGUUGUGAACUCAGAGCACAAUACAUCCAUGCUGACACAGAAAGGCAGCAAUGACUUUGCUGUGAACUCAGAGCACGAUACAUCCAUGCUGACACAGAAAGGCAGUAAUGACUUGGAUGUAAACACCCAGAGCACAAUACAUCCAUGAUUACACAGAAAGGCAGUAAAGACUUGGUUGUAAACACCCAGAGCACAAUACAUCCAUGCUGACACAGAAAGGCAGUAAAGACUUUGUUGUAAACACUAACUUAAAGAUAUCCAUACAUCCAUGGGGUGUGCCACAGACGCAAAUUACGCCCACCAUUUUGAACAAGGUGCUUAAAGUGAACACGUCUGGUUUUGUUAUGAGCACUUAGCACUCCGAGCCUAAAAGGCCUCACAUUGAAUUGAUGCAAGAGAAGGCUUUGAAAAAUAACAGCAGUUUUGUUGUGUGGUCCAAUACGCCCUUCGACUCGCAACCUGAAGAAAGCAGAACUCAAACUCGUCUCUUAGCAAUAUCAGCAAGGCCAUCAUGUCAAUCUCAGCUUCUAGAGCUUCAGUGAACUUAACUAGCAAACAUGACAAACGUCAUUGAAGUGAAAGUCGAUGACAACCCCCUUCUUGCACAAAUACUACAACUCGCUUAAGAAAUUCAGCAUGAAGACGUCUUGCGUCAGACUACCAAGCCUCCUAUCAAUAUCUCCUCCCAUGUUGGCUACAUCAACACUUCCAACAGCAGAGCCUUGGUGAGUUUGACUUCCGUCUUAGCAUCGAUGUCGCUUAGCAACAAUUGGAUGAUGGGCGUCGACAAAUUAUGCCGGACAAGUCGCUCGAACUGAAACUAUCUGAUCCAACAGGUAGAGCAGGCGUUGCGUGACAUGUCCAUUAAUGUGACUACUCGAUAUGUUGUUCUCGAAUAAUGUGAACCUUAGGCCUGGAGAGCAGUAUGCGAUUGACGCCAUUCAACAACAGUUGUCGGCAAUUCUCGGGUUUGGGGUGGCGACUUCGGCGUCGAGACUCGCUCCAUCUCUGUCUAAGGCCCAGUUGCAGCAGCAGCAGCAGCAACAAGAACAAUAAGUAGUAUCUUAGUGGUGUUCUGGGAUAUGGGGCUUCAUGUAUGUGCUUAAAUUGUCAUCCAAGAUUAGCCUGUGCAGACUGCACCUACAUUAAGUCAUAUUAAAUUGUCAUCCCAGAUUAGCCUGUGCAGACUGCACAUACAUUAAGUCCUAUUAAAUUGUCAUCCAAGAUUAGCCUGUGCAGACUGCACAUACAUUAAGUCCUAUUAAAGUGUCAUCCCAGAUUAGCCUGUGCAGACUGCUCAUACAUUAAGCCCUAUUUUCCCAGAAUGAGACUAGCAUACUUCACUUAACAUCAGUAUUUUAUGUGCCUGAAAAGUUCCUAGCAUCAAAUGGGAAUUAUGUGUUUUUAAAUUGAUCACACAUAGUAAAUAAAAUGCAAAUAGCACUUGAUCUAAUAUCAAUUUUAAUUGUUUCUGCCUGAUUGAGAAAAAGGUCAAAGCAUCAAAUGCCGGUUCCUACAGGAUCCCAUGCAAUAGAUUGGUACCCAGCUGAACAACAGGCUUUCUGGUAAGCUGGGCCCGGAUAGGUGCAGCCAGUCUAAAGCUGGGGCUCCAAACUGUCCUGCCAAGUGGGCUGAUAUUACCUCUUCUACAAGGGACAUAUGUCAGUGAUGCGCAAAGAGCUGGUUUUCUGUUCACAGAGAAAUAUCCUAACAACUCCAACUCAGCCACUACAUCUCAACAGACAACCCGAAUAUCAAGGCGUUAAGUUUCUUCUGGAUGCAGUUACAGUCACAGCUUUCAAGCCAGCAGCUGUCGAUGUAUUGAGAUUUUCUCCUCUCCAUGUUACCUGACCUGCUGCCUGUGAACAUCCUGCACAUAGAACCUUUGUGAGUUUGUGAGACAUCCCAUUCGAUGUAAUUAAACCGGCCAAUCAAAAAGACAGCCUGAAAUAUUCCUCAUCUUGAAAUAUUGGGAAGGCAGGAAAACGCCUGUCACUGUUAAGAUAAAAAUGAGGGAAUGACAAAGCACAGUAUGACCAGUUAAGUCCUGUGAUAUGCCAAGUCCUGUGGCCAGACACGUCUUGUGGCCAGCCAAGUCCUGUGAUCAGCCAAGUCCUGUGGCCAGACACGUCUUGU
Molecule: long non-coding RNA, 4762 nt
Organism: Dreissena polymorpha
Lineage: Eukaryota; Metazoa; Mollusca; Bivalvia; Myida; Dreissenidae
Exons: 9
Source: RefSeq, a predicted model, not a curated record